CUCUGUCACUCCUACGGGAGGCAGCAGUGGGGAAUAUUGCACAAUGGGCGCAAGCCUGAUGCAGCCAUGCCGCGUGUGUGAAGAAGGCCUUCGGGUUGUAAAGCACUUUCAGUCGUGAGGAAGGUAGUGUAGUUAAUAGCUGCAUUAUUUGACGUUAGCGACAGAAGAAGCACCGGCUAACUCCGUGCCAGCAGCCGCGGUAAUACGGAGGGUGCGAGCGUUAAUCGGAAUUACUGGGCGUAAAGCGCAUGCAGGUGGUUUGUUAAGUCAGAUGUGAAAGCCCGGGGCUCAACCUCGGAAUAGCAUUUGAAACUGGCAGACUAGAGUACUGUAGAGGGGGUAGAAUUUCAGGUGUAGCGGUGAAAUGCGUAGAGAUCUGAAGGAAUACCGGUGGCGAAGGCGGCCCCCUGGACAGAUACUGACACUCAGAUGCGAAAGCGUGGGGAGCAAACAGGAUUAGAUACCCUGGUAG
This 472-nucleotide ribosomal RNA is filed under the name uncultured bacterium. Its description in RNAcentral is "bacterial SSU rRNA". It matches the Rfam family "Bacterial small subunit ribosomal RNA", at positions 328 to 793 of the family's 1533-position model. The record is from RNAcentral.